RNAcentral lists this ribosomal RNA (504 nucleotides) under uncultured bacterium. Its description in RNAcentral is "bacterial SSU rRNA". It matches the Rfam family "Bacterial small subunit ribosomal RNA", at positions 21 to 518 of the family's 1533-position model. The record is from RNAcentral.
GGUUCAGGAUGAACGCUAGCUACAGGCUUAACACAUGCAAGUCGAGGGGCAGCAUGAUCGAAGCUUGCUUGAUGAUGGCGACCGGCGCACGGGUGAGUAACGCGUAUCCAACCUUCCCUAUAGUAGAGAAUAGCCCGGCGAAAGUCGGAUUAAUGCUCUAUGUUGUAUUUAGAAGACAUCUGAAGAAUACCAAAGGUUUACCGCUAUAGGAUGGGGAUGCGUCUGAUUAGGUAGUAGGCGGGGUAACGGCCACCUAGCCGACGAUCAGUAGGGUUCUGAGAGGAAGGUCCCCCACAUUGGAACUGAGACACGGUCCAAACUCCUACGGGAGGCAGCAGUGAGGAAUAUUGGUCAAUGGACGGAAGUCUGAACCAGCCAAGUAGCGUGCAGGAUGACGGCCCUAUGGGUUGUAAACUGCUUUUAUAUAGGGAUAAAGUCGGGGACGUGUCCCCGUUUGUAGGUACUAUAUGAAUAAGGACCGGCUAAUUCCGUGCCAGCAGCUGC